This 297-nucleotide small nuclear RNA is filed under the name Octodon degus (degu). RNAcentral describes it as "7SK RNA (ENSODEG00000024511.1)". It matches the Rfam family "7SK RNA". Rfam says of the family: 7SK was discovered as an abundant small nuclear RNA in the mid-70s but a possible function has only recently been suggested. Two independent studies have found that 7SK RNA binds the CDK9/cyclin T complex (known as elongation factor P-TEFb). P-TEFb activates transcription by phosphorylating the C-terminal domain of RNA polymerase II. The record is from Rfam by way of RNAcentral. Lineage: Eukaryota; Metazoa; Chordata; Mammalia; Rodentia; Octodontidae.
AGAUGUGACGGUGAUCUGGCUGUAACAUCUGUCACCCCCUUAAUCAUCAGGGUUGAUUUGGCUGAUCUGGCUGGCUGGGGGGUGUCCCCUUCUUCCCUCAGUAUUCCAUAUGCAUCCCUCACAAAACUGCACUCGGUUGAAGAGGAUGCCCACCUCCAAUAGAGGAGGACCAUUCCUCGGUCAAGGGUAUACAAGUAGCUGUGCUCCCCUGCUAGUACCUCCAAAAAGCUCUCAAAAAGACUGGAGUCUACCAUCUCCAGAGUUGAUUUAAAUAUCUGGAUGCAAUCAGUAUUCCAG